UAGGGAAUCUUCGGCAAUGGACGAAAGUCUGACCGAGCAACGCCGCGUGAGUGAAGAAGGUUUUUCGGAUCGUAAAACUCUGUUGGUAGAGAAGAACGUUGGUGAGAGUGGAAAGCUCAUCAAGUGACGGUAACUACCCAGAAAGGGACGGCUAACUACGUGUCAG
Molecule: ribosomal RNA, 166 nt
Filed under: uncultured bacterium
Lineage: Bacteria
Description: partial 16S ribosomal RNA
Rfam family: Bacterial small subunit ribosomal RNA
Source: RNAcentral